AACUCCCUAACAUUGUGAACGUUACUAACCGUUGCUUCGGCGGGCGGCCCCGGGGUUCUCCCCGGGCGCCCCUGGGCCCCAUCGCGGGCGCCCGCCGGAGGUCUCCAAACUCUUGAUACUUUAUGGCCUCUCUGAGUCUUCUGUACUGAAUAAGUCAAAACUUUCAACAACGGAUCUCUUGGUUCUGGCAUCGAUGAAGAACGCAGCGAAAUGCGAUAAGUAAUGUGAAUUGCAGAAAUUCAGUGAAUCAUCGAAUCUUUGAACGCACAUUGCGCCCGCCAGUAUUCUGGCGGGCAUGCCUGUUCGAGCGUCAUUUCAACCAUCAAGCCCCCGGCUUGUGUUGGGGACCUGCGGCUGCCGCAGGCCCUGAAAAGCAGUGGCGGGCUCGCUGUCACACCGAGCGUAGUAGCAUACAUCUCGCUCUGGGCGUGCUGCGGGUUCCGGCCGUUAAACCACCUUCAUAACCCAAGGUUGACCUCGGAUCAGGUAGGAAGACCCGCUGAACUUAAGCAUAUCA
RNAcentral lists this ribosomal RNA (517 nucleotides) under Chaetomium sp. ASR-305. RNAcentral describes it as "eukaryotic LSU rRNA". The stretch from base 159 to 313 matches the Rfam family "5.8S ribosomal RNA". The record is from RNAcentral. Lineage: Eukaryota; Fungi; Ascomycota; Sordariomycetes; Sordariales; Chaetomiaceae.